This 497-nucleotide ribosomal RNA is filed under the name uncultured bacterium. Its description in RNAcentral is "partial 16S ribosomal RNA". It matches the Rfam family "Bacterial small subunit ribosomal RNA", at positions 28 to 507 of the family's 1533-position model. The record is from RNAcentral.
GAUGAACGCUGGCGGCGUGCCUAAUACUUGCAAGUCGAGCGAACAGACGAGGAGCUUGCUCCUCUGACGUUAGCGGCGGACGGGUGAGUAACACGUGGAUAACCUACCUAUAAGACUGGGAUAACUUCGGGAAACCGGAGCUAAUACCGGAUAAUAUAUUGAACCGCAUGGUUCAAUAGUGAAAGACGGUUUUGCUGUCACUUAUAGAUGGAUCCGCGCCGCAUUAGCUAGUUGGUAAGGUAACGGCUUACCAAGGCAACGAUGCGUAGCCGACCUGAGAGGGUGAUCGGCCACACUGGAACUGAGACACGGUCCAGACUCCUACGGGAGGCAGCAGUAGGGAAUCUUCCGCAAUGGGCGAAAGCCUGACGGAGCAACGCCGCGUGAGUGAUGAAGGUCUUCGGAUCGUAAAACUCUGUUAUUAGGGAAGGACAAAUGUGUAAGUAACUAUGCACGUCUUGACGGUACCUAAUCAGAAAGCCACGGCUAACUACGUG